CCUACGGGAGGCAGCAGUGAGGAAUAUUGGUCAAUGGGCGAGAGCCUGAACCAGCCAAGUCGCGUGAAGGAUGAAGGAUCUAUGGUUUGUAAACUUCUUUUAUAUGGGAAUAAAGUGAGGAACGUGUUCCUUUUUGUAUGUACCAUAUGAAUAAGCAUCGGCUAACUCCGUGCCAGCAGCCGCGGUAAUACGGAGGAUGCGAGCGUUAUCCGGAUUUAUUGGGUUUAAAGGGUGCGUAGGUGGUUAAUUAAGUCAGCGGUGAAAGUUUGUGGCUCAACCAUAAAAUUGCAGUUGAAACUGGUUGACGUGAGUAUAGUUGAGGUAGGCGGAAUGCGUGGUGUAGCGGUGAAAUGCAUAGAUAUCACGCAGAACUCCGAUUGCGAAGGCAGCUUACUAAACUAUAACUGACACUGAAGCUCGAAAGCGUGGGGAUCAAACAGGAUUAGAUACCCUUGUAGUC
Molecule: ribosomal RNA, 460 nt
Filed under: uncultured bacterium
Lineage: Bacteria
Description: partial 16S ribosomal RNA
Rfam family: Bacterial small subunit ribosomal RNA
Source: RNAcentral